CAUUUGGGAGGGGGGUCCCUCAGCCCAGAUUGCAAGAGGGCCAGGCCAGGCCGAGGGACCCCACUGGUGCACA
This 73-nucleotide microRNA precursor is filed under the name Myotis lucifugus (little brown bat). RNAcentral describes it as "mir-9193 microRNA precursor family". It matches the Rfam family "mir-9193 microRNA precursor family". The record is from Rfam by way of RNAcentral. Lineage: Eukaryota; Metazoa; Chordata; Mammalia; Chiroptera; Vespertilionidae.